This 1510-nucleotide long non-coding RNA is filed under the name Neogale vison (American mink). Its description in RNAcentral is "Neovison vison (American mink) lncRNA (ENSNVIG00000011328.1)". Lineage: Eukaryota; Metazoa; Chordata; Mammalia; Carnivora; Mustelidae. The record is from RNAcentral.
CAUUACUGGGUUGGGGGUACAGGGUUUGAGAGCAUUGGCCCUAGCAACAGAAUGCCCACAGGUUUGCUUCCCGAUUCUGUAACACUUGCUGUGUGACCUUUCAUCAGUUCCCUAACCUCUCUGUGCCCUGGUUUCUUCAUCUAGAAAAGGAGAAUAAUAAGAUUACCUCGGGUUUGGCAUUGGAUAAAAUAAUAUAUGCCUGUAGCACACAGUUAAGCACUUAAUAAGUGUGAGCUGUUAUUAUUACUAUUAGUGAGAGUUCUCUCUCAAUGGUACUGUCAAUCCUGUGGUUUCUGAGAAGGACGGAGACCUACACAACACCUCACGGGAGUCUGACCCCGGGAUGGGAGUCGCGCAUCUGCUAUCUCGACCUCCUUUCCAGGACCCCGUGCUCCCCGCUGGAAUGAUGCUUGGGAAGAGCCUGGUACUCACAGCCUGGUUUGCCCUUGCUGUGGCUUACCCCGUCAUACGCCAGGAAUUCAUUGGUGACCUAAACUUGAUCACUAAGCUUGAGUUGAUUAAUGAAUUUGAGUUGACCGCUGAACUAGAGUUGGCCAUCGCAGAAUCCAUUGCCUUCCUGGAAUCCCUCACUGACCUGGAGUCCAAUGCGACCCCUGAAUCCCCCAGUGACCUGGAGUCUACUGACACCCUGGAGUCCAUCGCUGACCUGGAGCCCACCAUGACCUCAAAGUGCCCCACUGAUGAGGAGUUCACUGCCACCCCCGAGUACCCUGCUGACUUGGACUCUACCGUGACCCUGGAGUCCACUGCCACCCCAGAGUCCCCCAUUGACCUGGAGUCCACCAUGACCCCAAAGUGCCCCACUGACCUGGAAUCCACCGCGACCCCAGAGUCCCCCACUGACCUGGAGUCCACCUCGACCCCAAAGUGCCCUACUGACCUGGAGUCCACUGCAACCCCAGAGUCUCCUGCUGACCUGGAGUCCACCGCGACCCUGGAGUCCCCUGCUGACCUGGAGUCCCCUGAUGAGCUGGAUUCUACUGCGACCCCAGAGUCCCCUGCUGAUCUGGAAUCCACCCUGACCCUAGAGUCCACCACUGACCUGGAGUCUCCUACUGACCUUGCCUCCAUUAGUGAUGUGGUAUCGACCAUGGGUGUGCAUUUUGAGGACACACGGGCUUUUGAAGAUGUCACUGAGGCUGAUUCAGAAGAGCCCAUGACUGGAAGACCAGAUGAGCUGAGCACCUCUGUGUGAAGCAACGAGUCCAUCUCAGUACUUUUUUUGAAAUGAAGCUGAUUUUCCAUUAGUUGCGAACAUCACUCUUCUAGCCACAAGUUUUUAAAGAAGAUCCUGAGCUACUGAACAAGGCUUCCGUUCCAUUAUAGGAGACUGAUUAACUGUAAAGGACUAGUAAGACAUAAGAUGUACCAGUUGAGGAUAAACUGAGUGGCGGGACUUUUACCCACACAGAGGGGGGCUAUCUCUUAACCAUGUCCCAUCUCCUGGGGGCUCAAUAAAUGUUGUUUAGAACUGAAUUUUGAGAACGGU